This 351-nucleotide ribosomal RNA is filed under the name Clostridium sporogenes. RNAcentral's name for it is "bacterial SSU rRNA". It matches the Rfam family "Bacterial small subunit ribosomal RNA", at positions 1192 to 1533 of the family's 1533-position model. Lineage: Bacteria; Bacillati; Bacillota; Clostridia; Eubacteriales; Clostridiaceae. The record is from RNAcentral.
AUCAUGCCCCUUAUGUCCAGGGCUACACACGUGCUACAAUGGUAGGUACAAUAAGACGCAAGACCGUGAGGUGGAGCAAAACUUAUAAAACCUAUCUCAGUUCGGAUUGUAGGCUGCAACUCGCCUACAUGAAGCUGGAGUUGCUAGUAAUCGCGAAUCAGAAUGUCGCGGUGAAUACGUUCCCGGGCCUUGUACACACCGCCCGUCACACCAUGAGAGCUGGUAACACCCGAAGUCCGUGAGGUAACCGUAAGGAGCCAGCGGCCGAAGGUGGGAUUAGUGAUUGGGGUGAAGUCGUAACAAGGUAGCCGUAGGAGAACCUGCGGCUGGAUCACCUCCUUUCUAAGGAGA